This 292-nucleotide ribosomal RNA is filed under the name uncultured bacterium. RNAcentral describes it as "partial 16S ribosomal RNA". It matches the Rfam family "Bacterial small subunit ribosomal RNA", at positions 505 to 796 of the family's 1533-position model. The record is from RNAcentral.
GUGUCAGCCGCCGCGGUAAAACGUAGGAGACAAACGUUAUCCGGAGUUACUGGGCGUAAAGGGCGUGUAGGUGGUAGUGUAAGUCUGGCGUGAAAUUUUUCGGCUUAACCGGGAAAGGUCGUCGGAUACUGCACAACUAGAGGACGGUAGAGGCGUGUGGAAUUCCGGGUGUAGUGGUGAAAUGCGUAGAGAUCCGGAGGAACACCAGUGGCGAAGGCGACACGCUGGGCCGUACCUGACACUGAUGCGCGACAGCAUGGGGAGCAAACAGGAUUAGAUACCCGUGUAGUCC